AGUGAACGCUGGCGGUAGGCCUAACACAUGCAAGUCGAACGGCAGCACAGGAGAGCUUGCUCUCUGGGUGGCGAGUGGUGGACGGGUGAGGAAUACAUCGGAAUCUGCCCAGUCGUGGGGGAUAACGUAGGGAAACUUACGCUAAUACCGCAUACGACCUUCGGGUGAAAGAGGGGGAUCGCAAGACCUCUCGCGAUUGGAUGAGCCGAUGUCGGAUUAGCUAGUUGGCGGGGUAAUGGCCCACCAAGGCGACGAUCCGUAGCUGGUCUGAGAGGAUGAUCAGCCACACUGGAACUGAGACACGGUCCAGACUCCUACGGGAGGCAGCAGUGGGGAAUAUUGGACAAUGGGCGCAAGCCUGAUCCAGCCAUACCGCGUGGGUGAAGAAGGCCUUCGGGUUGUAAAGCCCUUUUGUUGGGAAAGAAAUCUUUCAGGCUAAUACCCUGGGAGGAUGACGGUACCCAAAGAAUAAGCACCGGCUAACUUCGUG
RNAcentral lists this ribosomal RNA (490 nucleotides) under uncultured bacterium. RNAcentral describes it as "partial 16S ribosomal RNA". It matches the Rfam family "Bacterial small subunit ribosomal RNA", at positions 29 to 507 of the family's 1533-position model. The record is from RNAcentral.